GGGGAAUAUUGGGCAAUGGACGCAAGUCUGACCCAGCGACGCCGCGUGCGGGAUGAAGGCCUUCGGGUUGUAAACCGCUUUCAGCAGGGAAGAAGCGAAAGUGACGGUACCUGCAAAAGAAGCACCGGCUAACUAUGUGCCAGCAGCCGCGGUAAUACAUAGGGUGCAAGCGUUGUCCGGAAUUAUUGGGCGUAAAGAGCUCGUAGGUGGUUAGUUACGUCGGGUGUGAAAAUCUGGGGCUCAACCCCAGACCUGCACUCGAUACGGGCUAGCUAGAGUUUGGUAGGGGAGACUGGAAUUCCUGGUGUAGCGGUGGAAUGCGCAGAUAUCAGGAGGAACACCAAUGGCGAAGGCAGGUCUCUGGGCCAAUACUGACACUGAGGAGCGAAAGCGUGGGGAGCGAACAGGA
Molecule: ribosomal RNA, 409 nt
Filed under: uncultured Sporichthyaceae bacterium
Lineage: Bacteria; Bacillati; Actinomycetota; Actinomycetes; Sporichthyales; Sporichthyaceae
Description: bacterial SSU rRNA
Rfam family: Bacterial small subunit ribosomal RNA
Source: RNAcentral